AAUGGGCGCAAGCCUGAUCUAGCCAUGCCGCGUGAGUGAAGAAGGCCUUAGGGUCGUAAAGCUCUUUCGCCAGGGAUGAUAAUGACAGUACCUGGUAAAGAAACCCCGGCUAACUCCGUGCCAGCAGCCGCGGUAAUACGGAGGGGGUUAGCGUUGUUCGGAAUUACUGGGCGUAAAGCGCACGUAGGCGGAUUAGAAAGUUAGAGGUGAAAUCCCAGGGCUCAACCCUGGAACUGCCUUUAAAACUCCUAGUCUUGAGUUCGAGAGAGGUGAGUGGAAUUCCAAGUGUAGAGGUGAAAUUCGUAGAUAUUUGGAGGAACACCAGUGGCGAAGGCGGCUCACUGGCUCGAUACUGACGCUGAGGUGCGAAAGUGUGGGGAGCAAACAGGAUU
This 392-nucleotide ribosomal RNA is filed under the name uncultured Gammaproteobacteria bacterium. RNAcentral describes it as "bacterial SSU rRNA". It matches the Rfam family "Bacterial small subunit ribosomal RNA", at positions 370 to 779 of the family's 1533-position model. The record is from RNAcentral. Lineage: Bacteria; Pseudomonadati; Pseudomonadota; Gammaproteobacteria.